GAGGCAGUAGCUCAGUGAUAGAGCUCCCGCUUCGUACGCGGGAAGAGCUGUGUUGGAUUCCUGGCUGCUUUC
Molecule: transfer RNA, 72 nt
Filed under: Toxocara canis (dog roundworm)
Lineage: Eukaryota; Metazoa; Nematoda; Chromadorea; Rhabditida; Toxocaridae
Rfam family: tRNA
About the family: Transfer RNA (tRNA) molecules are approximately 80 nucleotides in length. Their secondary structure includes four short double-helical elements and three loops (D, anti-codon, and T loops).
Source: Rfam by way of RNAcentral